RNAcentral lists this ribosomal RNA (468 nucleotides) under uncultured bacterium. RNAcentral describes it as "partial 16S ribosomal RNA". It matches the Rfam family "Bacterial small subunit ribosomal RNA", at positions 28 to 507 of the family's 1533-position model. The record is from RNAcentral.
GACGAACGCUGGCGGCGUGCUUAACACAUGCAAGUCGAAUGGAAAGGCCCUGCUUUUGUGGGGUGCUCGAGUGGCGAACGGGUGAGUAACACGUGAGUAACCUGCCCUUGACUUUGGGAUAACUUCAGGAAACUGGGGCUAAUACCGGAUAGGAGCUCCUGCUGCAUGGUGGGGGUUGGAAAGUUUCGGCGGUUGGGGAUGGACUCGCGGCUUAUCAGCUUGUUGGUGGGGUAGUGGCUUACCAAGGCUUUGACGGGUAGCCGGCCUGAGAGGGUGACCGGCCACAUUGGGACUGGGAUACGGCCCAGACUCCUACGGGAGGCAGCAGUGGGGAAUAUUGCACAAUGGGCGGAAGCCUGAUGCAGCAACGCCGCGUGCGGGAUGACGGCCUUCGGGUUGUAAACCGCUUUCGCCUGUGACGAAGCGUGAGUGACGGUAAUGGGUAAAGAAGCACCGGCUAACUACGUG